AAGCACUAUUAUGGGCAUACUGAAUAUACCUGCAUUUUUCUAAGAGCUCUAUCAACACUCUGCACAUGGAAAAUCAUAGGUUAGGUAACCGAUUAUACAUGUGCAGUUACAUAAUAUAGGAUAUUUUAUAAUUGUUGAAAUAAAUACUUUCCAUAAGAACUCGGCUUAUGGUUGAAUGCAACACAACGAUCCAAUAACGAAUCUGCGUGGUAAGGAUGCGCAGAAGCUAAAUAGUAUUGUAUAA
This is a long non-coding RNA of Dufourea novaeangliae, 244 nucleotides long. RefSeq lists it as uncharacterized. The record is from RefSeq and is a predicted model, not a curated record. Lineage: Eukaryota; Metazoa; Arthropoda; Insecta; Hymenoptera; Halictidae. The transcript has 3 exons.